CCUGCGGACCGGGCCCCUCUGGCAGCAUGAUCGUCACGAUCGGCUGCGAUGUCGGACCGCAUCG
The sequence is a regulatory RNA element, 64 nucleotides long. It matches the Rfam family "terC RNA". The record is from Rfam.